RNAcentral lists this ribosomal RNA (405 nucleotides) under uncultured bacterium. Its description in RNAcentral is "bacterial SSU rRNA". It matches the Rfam family "Bacterial small subunit ribosomal RNA", at positions 356 to 774 of the family's 1533-position model. The record is from RNAcentral.
GGGGAAUAUUGGGCAAUGGGCGAAAGCCUUACCCAGCAAUGCCGCGUGUAUGAAGAAGGUCUUCGGAUUGUAAAGUACUAUAUUGGGGAAGAACACAAUGACGGUACCCAAGAGAAAAAGCCCCGGCUAACUAUGUGCCAGCAGCCGCGGUAAUACAUAGGGGGCUAGCUUUGUUCGGAAUUACUGGGCGUAAAGGGUGCGUAGGUGGCAAUGUAUGUUGGAAGUGUAAUCCCUCGGGCUUAACUCAGGGGCUGCUUCCAAAACUGCAUUACUUGAGUGUCGGAGAGGAAAACGGAAUUCCUAGGGUAGCGGUGAAAUGCUCAGAUAUUAGGAGGAACACCAGAGGCGAAGGCGGUUUUCUGGACGACAACUGACGCUGAGGCACGAAAGCGUGGGGAGCGAUUG